AGCGGGGUAGAGAAAUUGGUCGACUCAUCAGGCCCAUGACCUGAAGACUGCAGGUUCGAAUCCUGUCCCCGCCU
Molecule: transfer RNA, 74 nt
Filed under: Begonia masoniana
Lineage: Eukaryota; Viridiplantae; Streptophyta; Magnoliopsida; Cucurbitales; Begoniaceae
Also listed under: 3 other names
Description: tRNA-Met
Rfam family: tRNA
About the family: Transfer RNA (tRNA) molecules are approximately 80 nucleotides in length.
Source: RNAcentral